This 484-nucleotide ribosomal RNA is filed under the name uncultured bacterium. RNAcentral describes it as "partial 16S ribosomal RNA". It matches the Rfam family "Bacterial small subunit ribosomal RNA", at positions 29 to 507 of the family's 1533-position model. The record is from RNAcentral.
AUUGAACGCUGGCGGCAGGCCUAACACAUGCAAGUCGAGCGGAUGAAGGGAGCUUGCUCCUGGAUUCAGCGGCGGACGGGUGAGUAAUGCCUAGGAAUCUGCCUGGUAGUGGGGGAUAACGUCCGGAAACGGGCGCUAAUACCGCCUACGUCCUGAGGGAGAAAGUGGGGGAUCUUCGGACCUCACGCUAUCAGAUGAGCCUAGGCCGGAUUAGCUAGUUGGUGGGGUAAGGGCCUACCAAGCCGACGAUCCGUAACUGGUCUGAGAGGAUGAUCAGUCACACGAGAACUUAGACGCGGUCCAGAGUCCUGAGAGAGGCAGCAGUGGGGAAUAGUGGACAGUGGGCGAAAGCAUGGUCCAGCCAUGCCGCGUGUGUGGAGAAGGUCUUCGGAGUGUAAAGCACGUUAAGUUGGGGGAAAGGGCAGUAAGUUGAUACCUAGCUGGAUUGACGUUACCGGCAGAAGAAGCACCGGCUAACUACGUG